GGCUUUAUAUUCAUAAAAUGAUUAUAGAAUGCAAUUCUAUAGGAGUAGUAGAGACUACUAAGGCUU
This 66-nucleotide transfer RNA is filed under the name Opisthoplatia orientalis. Its description in RNAcentral is "tRNA-Cys". Lineage: Eukaryota; Metazoa; Arthropoda; Insecta; Blattodea; Blaberidae. The record is from RNAcentral.